Molecule: long non-coding RNA, 2348 nt
Organism: Sycon ciliatum
Lineage: Eukaryota; Metazoa; Porifera; Calcarea; Leucosolenida; Sycettidae
Exons: 3
Source: RefSeq, a predicted model, not a curated record
UCCGGGGCCGGGUGUAGUUAUCAUGGUUAUUCUGCACUGCAGCCUUGUGCAGGUGAGUUGUUACAACAUCUCCCCCCAACUGGCCCAAGUCUGUUUGUAACAGUAGCUACCGUAGCUCAUUCGGAAGAGUGUCUCAUCCUGGCAGAAGUCUAUUUCCUUCUGUCGAAUUAUUUUAGUAGUGAAGUCAUGAAUUCAGGAGGGCUAGGUGAAUUCUUGGACGAAUGCUACUUUCAGACAUCAGUAGUGGCAGGCGGAAAUGUUUUGUUUGCAUUGCUGCGAAGUAAUAAUUAUUAUUAGUUGCUUAGUGCAGGAGUACGAGUACAUGCACUCAGAGUGCAGAGGAACGGUGCAACCUGAGACUGUGAUUCCAGAUUCGAUGGCUUUUGUAGACUUACGAUUACACUCUGCAGCGAAUCGCCUCCUUGUUCCUCGAAUAUGACAGGAUGGCUGGGGCAGAGUUAUGCAUUUGGACUCCCGGACGGAUACCAUUGAUGCUGCCGAUCCUUUGUCUGCACCUUUUUCCUUGCUCACUGACUGCACUGUGGUGAGCCCAUAAGUACUGUUGUGGACAUUGAAAUCCGGUGAAAUGACCGGGGCGGGCGCCCUGACUGCCUUAGCUCAUACAUGCACUGUAUUUCACGUACAAAACUGAAAAAAUGGACCAGCAGUGCCCAGAGCUGCAAGGUCAGCUCCCAGUGGCCGCUUGAGUGACGUCUAAACGGAUUUCAAUGUACACGACAGUAGGACAAUUUUCAAGUCUACCCAAAGUCUUGGGACUGCAGGGCGUGUCAGCCAUUGGGCAGUUCCAUAGUCAAUUCAGUCAUCUUUCCAAGGUGUCUGUUGAAUCUCUCUCCCCUGUGUCGUGACCAAUUAAUGGCGAUGAGCAAGGAAGAGUGUGUGUAAGAAAAAAAAGUUUCCGUGUGGGGUAGGGUGUGUGUGUGUGCGUUUGUGCGUGUGUGUGCUUGUGUGUACAUGCAUGCGUUUUGAUGCGAUGAGUGUACCGAUCCACGCCCAUCACCACCGAUAAACUAUUAAUUGAUUGAAAGUGUGCUGUAGCUUCCUUGCUUGACAUCACACUUAAUGCAUUGAAUGAGGGGCUAUGCAGCAAGCUUAAAAUGUAGGCGUGCAAUCAUAAGGCUUGAGGAGGUUGUUCGCCCCUGAUGCAAUGGUGUGUAUUCAGUUACAUCUCAUCAAUGGUCCAACUGCUGAUCUCCUGAAGUAGCAAUGAAUGGUAACACGGUACAGGUUUACAGGCUAAUAUUGUAUCUUCAUCCCAGUGAAAUAUCCCGUGUGCCCACAAGUAACUGACAUGCUAAAUUGAUACCGUGCAAGUUCUGGUGGUGCUGUUGAUUGUGUUUAAGCUGGUGGUUUACUUUCAGUUGAUGGCAUAGGUCUGGACUAUUUUCAUGCACAUUGUGGCCACGGAGUUCAUCCACAGAACACUUGUGCCCACCGCACUCAGGGAUAGAGCUGCAGCUCCGAUGGCGGUAGGAGGUGAGAGCAACAGUGCAAAGGCGAUUGAUGGAUGGAGAAACAAUCCGGAAAAUUCUACCGGAGAAGAAAUUUAAAGCCAUUUCCAUCCCAAUGUUAUUUUUCUUAGUCUAUGUGAAUUAUCUGACGGGCAUAUUGCCUGUAGCGGUGUGAAUCAAAUAUCUGAGGUUGUAAGCUCCCCGAGAUCUCCUGUGAACACUAGGCAUAUUCACAAGAUCUGAUCUCAUGAAACAACAACGUUUUAUUAUGUUGGUAAUAUGGAGACUAUAACCCCACCCUUCUAUAAUUUGCCUGCCACAAAUUACCUAUUGGCUGACUGGAAGCUUACACAAGUGCAGCUAUUCUUGGUCCAGUUUGCCCAGAUAGCUUUAGGUUCAGUUUAGCUUUAGGUUCAGUUUCACCCACCCCCAUAAUUUGUUUUUCAUGUAUGCUACGCCCAUCUUUUAGCUGUUUGACUGGAAUGCAUGAAGUACUGUCCCAGUGAAGCUUCCCUCUGCAACCUGUGUACUCAAACGUGUGAGCAGUAAAUACCUAUAAUCUUGGCAUUGCGUAUUGGUAGACUGUAAGACAGGACUGUCUGCGAAGCUGGUCUCAGAAUCCUGUCAGUGUAGAAUCCAGCCAAACUAAGUUUUUAUAGAAGAUUUUUUGUUUUACUUAUCCGUCCCAAAUCCAAACCACGACCACCAUCCCCACUCAGAUUAAUUGCCUUUAUUAGACUGUCCUGGAACAGUGGAUUGCACGACUGGUAUUCAUAUCUGGGAACCAGUAUCAGCCGAUAAAGUCAUUCACAUCCAGCUGUGUCUAUCGCCUACAGUUCCAAAGAAGUUCGGUGGCUCUGGUGGGGAGAACUGCAGUAU